CCACUAACAAAUUAAAAUAAGAACUAGAUUUAAAUAAAUCUAUAUAAACAUUUCAAAUAAAAUAAAAAUUAAUAAACUAAAAAAGAAAAAAAAAACACCCAAAGCCAAAAGGGAUGUCACAUAUCUUCCUGCACAGAGACGGCAAAUACACACGAUACACUAGCGAACAACAGUAAAUGCACAUAAUAAAUCUAUGAUAUAUGCAUGCAGGCUACAGAACAACAUGGUAGACGAAGCACUUGUUAGACGACCAACGAUCGAACGAUCUGUAGCCCGCACCACGAAUGCCAACCACUGUCGUACCACCGAAACACCAUCGCACACAGGAACAGGGCACACCACCGCACUACACCACUGCACCGCACCCACAGAGAGCAAAGCAAAGUUUGAAGAGUUUGGAUCAGAAAACAACGAACAAGAGAUGUCAAUUUGGGGAGGUGGGGGCUGUGAGAGCAAUGUCAGUUUGGGAGAAAAGUGGAUGUCAAUUUGGGGGAAGGUGGGGUCUGUGAGAAUAAAAGUAAAGUUAAUAGGGUUUGGGGAGAGGUG
Molecule: long non-coding RNA, 546 nt
Filed under: Vigna radiata
Lineage: Eukaryota; Viridiplantae; Streptophyta; Magnoliopsida; Fabales; Fabaceae
Description: long non-coding RNA (VRAD_LNC003142)
Source: RNAcentral